CGCGGUAUUUUGACCGUGCAAAGGUAGCAUAAUCAUUAGUCUUUUAAUUGAAGGCUUGAAUGAAAGGUUGGACGAGAAGCUAGCUGUCUUUAUUAGAAAUGUGGAAUUUAACUUUUAAGUGAAAGGGCUUAAAUGUUCUAAGGGGACGAUAAGACCCUAUAAAGUUUGACAUUUAUGCUUGAUAUAAAAUAAAUAAUAAAAUUUAUUAGAAGCUAUAUUGUUUUGUUGGGGUGACAGGAAUAUAAAUAAUUUAACUGUUUUAUAUUGAUACAAAGAUAUUUGUAAAGAAUAGGAUCUUUAUUAAGAGUGUAAGAGUAAAUUACUUUAGGGAUAACAGCGUAAUUUUUUUUGAGAGUUCUUAUCGACAAAAAAGUUUGCGACCUCGAUGUUGAAUUAAGAGUUCUUUGUAGUGCAGAAGGUAUAAAAGAAGGUCUGUUCGA
Molecule: ribosomal RNA, 440 nt
Filed under: Engaeus australis
Lineage: Eukaryota; Metazoa; Arthropoda; Malacostraca; Decapoda; Parastacidae
Description: partial 16S ribosomal RNA
Rfam family: Archaeal large subunit ribosomal RNA
Source: RNAcentral